AUUGAACGCUGGCGGCAGGCCUAACACAUGCGAGUCGAGCGGAUGAAGGGAGCUUGCUCCUGGAUUCAGCGGCGGACGGGUGAGUAAUGCCUAGGAAUCUGCCUGGUAGUGGGGGAUAACGUCCGGAAACGGGCGCUAAUACCGCAUACGUCCUGAGGGAGAAAGUGGGGGAUCUUCGGACCUCACGCUAUCAGAUGAGCCUAGGUCGGAUUAGCUAGUUGGUGGGGUAAAGGCCUACCAAGGCGACGAUCCGUAACUGGUCUGAGAGGAUGUUCAGUCACACUGGAACUGAGACACGGUCCAGACUCCUACGGGAGGCAGCAGUGGGGAAUAUUGGACAAUGGGCGAAAGCCUGAUCCAGCCAUGCCGCGUGUGUGAAGAAGGUCUUCGGAUUGUAAAGCACUUUAAGUUGGGAGGAAGGGCAGUAAGUUAAUACCUUGCUGUUUUGACGUUACCAACAGAAUAAGCACCGGCUAACUUCGUG
RNAcentral lists this ribosomal RNA (484 nucleotides) under uncultured bacterium. Its description in RNAcentral is "partial 16S ribosomal RNA". It matches the Rfam family "Bacterial small subunit ribosomal RNA", at positions 30 to 507 of the family's 1533-position model. The record is from RNAcentral.